RNAcentral lists this ribosomal RNA (894 nucleotides) under uncultured bacterium. RNAcentral's name for it is "bacterial SSU rRNA". It matches the Rfam family "Bacterial small subunit ribosomal RNA", at positions 8 to 912 of the family's 1533-position model. The record is from RNAcentral.
AGAGUUUGAUCCUGGCUCAGGACGAACGCUGGCGGCGUGCUUAACACAUGCAAGUCUAGGGGGCCCGCAAGGGUCACCGGCGAACGGGUGCGUAACACGUGAGCGACCUACCCUGGAAUGGGGGAUAGCCGGCCCAACGGCCGGGUAAUACCGCAUACGCUCUUUGAGCUUCAUGGCUUGGAGAGGAAACCUUUUGGGUUCAAGGAGGGGCUCGCGGCCUAUCAGCUAGUUGGUGAGGUAACGGCUCACCAAGGCGAUGACGGGUAGCUGGUCUGAGAGGAUGGCCAGCCACAUUGGGACUGAGAAACGGCCCAGACUCCUACGGGAGGCAGCAGUGGGGAAUAUUGCGCAAUGGUCGAAAGACUGACGCAGCGACGCCGCGUGGAGGAUGAAGCCCCUCGGGGUGUAAACUCCUGUUGCUCGGGACGAACCUCUCCUUUCGAGGAGACUGACGGUACCGAGUGAGGAAGCACCGGCUAACUCUGUGCCAGCAGCCGCGGUAAUACAGAGGGUGCGAGCGUUGUCCGGAAUCACUGGGCGUAAAGGGCGCGUAGGCGGCUUGGUAAGCGUGCGGUGAAAGCUCAGGGCUCAACUCUGAGUCUGCCGUGCGAACUGCCGAGCUGGAGCACGGUAGAGGCACAUGGAAUUCCGGGUGUAGCGGUGGAAUGCGUAGAGAUCCGGAAGAACACCGGUGGCGAAGGCGGUGUGCUGGGCCGUUGCUGACGCUGAGGCGCGACAGCGUGGGGAGCAAACAGGAUUAGAUACUCUGGUAGUCCACGCUGUAAACGAUGGGCACUAGGCCCUUGGGGGAGCGACUCUUUGAGGACCGGCGCAAACGCAUUAAGUGUCUCGCCUGGGGGAGUACGGACGCAAGGCUGAAACUCAAAGGAAUUG